GACGAACGCUGGCGGCGUGCUUAACACAUGCAAAUCGAACGGAAAGGCCCUGCUUUUGUGGGGUGCUCGAGUGGCGAACGGGUGAGUAACACGUGAGUAACCUGCCCUUGACUUUGGGAUAACUUCAGGAAACUGGGGCUAAUACCGGAUAGGAGCUCCUGCUGCAUGGUGGGGGUUGGAAAGUUUCGGCGGUUGGGGAUGGACUCGCGGCUUAUCAGCUUGUUGGUGGGGUAGUGGCUUACCAAGGCUUUGACGGGUAGCCGGCCUGAGAGGGUGACCGGCCACAUUGGGACUGAGAUACGGCACAGACUCCUACGGGAGGCAGCAGUGGGGAAUAUUGCACAAUGGGCGGAAGCCUGAUGCAGCAACGCCGCGUGCGGGAUGACGGCCUUCGGGUUGUAAACCGCUUUCGCCUGUGACGAAGCGUGAGUGACGGUAAUGGGUAAAGAAGCACCGGCUAACUACGUG
Molecule: ribosomal RNA, 468 nt
Filed under: uncultured bacterium
Lineage: Bacteria
Description: partial 16S ribosomal RNA
Rfam family: Bacterial small subunit ribosomal RNA
Source: RNAcentral